GUUUUUGAACAAUAUUCUCCCCCAUUAAUUCAGGACUACCUUUUUUAUUGAUACUUAAUACCCGACUCUCCUCUUCAAUUACCUUAGGAUCCAUAAAACCUUCCAUUUCAAUGCAUUGAGUGUGGGUCUCGUGAUUAACAAUUGGGACCUGUCCAGAUUUAAUGCAAACAAAUAUACCCUCAUCAUUUACAAUCACCUUGUCUUUAAAUGUAUAUGGGAGUUCCAAUUCACUUUUGGAAUAAAUAGCAACCGUAUUCACACCCCCAAAAUCACGGUCCCCACUCCCCAUAUUAACUCCCUCUAAAUAAGAAAAGUAAUUUCGAGAAUUGGUCAUAAUAACUGCACAAAAACCCUUGUGACUGAUCAGAAGCGGCUUAUAUCCUUCCAUCUCCGCCCCACACCUUCCAGCCGCUUCAUUUUCUGGUGGUUCAACAAACUGUUCCGAUUCUGACACCCAAACAAUUGAGUUCUCCAAUAUUCCUGCAAAAUCUGAUGACACUGAGUCCGAUGAAAAAGAAUAACCACUAUCUUCUUUCUUCAACCUAAACAUAGCUUCAUCUUCUACCUCCUCCCAAAGAUUAACCUUAAACGACUCGCCGUUAAUCCUUACUGCUACAGUGCUCUCAAUUCGAGAUCUCCAAUGGAUUUUGAUCUUUAACCUACAUCUGUCAAAUCUCUCCUUCUGACUGGUCUCAUCCUCCACUGAAAUCAAAGAUCCAAAAUUCUUAGCAAUUAACUCGAAGCAACUCGAAUUCUAGGCAUGCAAAGGAAUCCCCAUAAUUGUGAUCCACUUGAUUCUGAAAUCCACCUCCACCUCUUCAGACCAGGGCGAUAAGGAGGAGAACACCUUGUGUAAACAUCCCUCAGCAUCCUUUAAAAUUUCAAGUAUGUCUUCCCCUUCAAGGGGAGAUAGGAGAACCAAAUUUCCACCCAUAGGAUGGACUUUGAUUGUGAGCAAACCUUUUGAGCAUAAUAUAUCCUUCAAUGUCAUAAUUACUCCUGGAUUAUUAGUCUUCCUACCACACACCUAGACAGCCAAUCUAGGUCCUGUUUAUCCAUAGUGUAAUCCACUUCCAACCUAUUCAACGUUGCUGAUUGACGAGUAAAAAGAUGGUGUCUCACUUCACUAGGUUUUCCCUCCUUGGGUCCGUCUCGGGUGACCCCGUUUAGGACUUCAACAAAGCUUCUUCUAUCUCUGAGACGGUGAUUGAAAAUAGAACAUUUCUCAUCCUGGGCAUUAUCCGUAGAAGGUUUUUGUUGGUUGUCCCUACGAAAUCUUGGUAAGUUCGCGAAGAUUUUUGUGUGUCCGAUCCAAAUGUUAUCUAGUUUCUUUUCUAGGGCUCUUUCUUCCUGUAUUUUUUCAAGUCUAAUAAAAGAAAACCUCUAGGCAUUUAUGUUUCUCUUCAUUGGAAUAUAGACGUCUCUAACUCUCCCACAACUCUGGAAGGUCUGCCAAAGGUCUUUGGAAUUGUAAUCAUCAGGAAAGUUUGUAACGUAGAAUGUACUAAAUGUCCAUAGGCUCUCCGUUGAUCUCUUUGUCUUCUUCCUCUCUCUGGUUUGCUGAAGUCAUAAGUCACGGCUUCCUGUGGUGGUCCAGGAGAAUCUCUCCUUAAUUGGUAGGUAGGAAUGUUUGGGUUUCUCACAGGGUUAGGUGCUCUCUGGUUUCUCGAAGGGGGGCGGUGAUGGGCAAGGUUUCUCUCAUGAAGGGGGGCGGUGAUGGGCAAGGGUUCUCUCCGGUUUUCAGCCUAGGAUUUGCUCUGGUAUUCUCUCCAGCGAUCUAUCCAAGGGUCUCUCCUCUGGUCUCUCAUUCUAUCUCUUUUGCUAUUAUAAGUCUCCUCUUAUUAAUAAAUGUCAUUGUUAUUUCAUUUUGUUUUCUUAGAGGUUUUAUCUUUAACAACACUUCUUCAAGAAGUUCUGUUAAAACUUUAUAUAUUUAACAAUAUUUUUUUUUAACAAUAAGCAUUGUUAUUGAGUGAGAAUUUUUUCAAAUUCAAAACCAAAAUCAUAUACAAUAAUACAUAUUAUUCAGUUUGUUAAUUUUUUUACCUUUCUUCUUCUCCGUAAGUUACAUUUUUUUUUCUCUUUUGGUUUUAACGACUUUUGGUUGUUCUCUUCUUCAAACAUAAGGUAAAUCGUUAUCUUAUUUUAGCUCAUCUAUUUCUCUCUUCACUAAUAGUGUGAUCUUUAUUUGUUGUGAAGUUAUGCAGCUAUGGUGUUCUAAGUUUUUGGCUAUAGUGAGCAUUGGAGGAGAAAGAAUGAACAAUUUGCAUAAGAUCUCAUGACUCAUAUGUCAUUUUAUAAUAUUGGAAUAUGUUAAGGUUGAAGGUAGUUGAAGUCUUUGGUGAUUUAACAAAUCUAUUGUAAAUGUGGUGGAGUUUGACAUGGUUGUCAUGUGUUUGAUAGAAUGUCUGGAACAUAUAUUGUCUUAUUUAGAAAGUAGACAUUUAAUAGCAUUUGCUUCAGUGAGCGCUGUUAAAUGUAUGCUUUCUAAAGCGCUACAAAAAACGUUGUUAAAUAUGACUUUAUAUACUAAUGCGCUCACAUAGAAAGCGCCACAAAAACACUAUUAAAUGACAAUUUUAAAUGUUGUUGUUUUGCUAGUCUAGCAUAGUAACUAGAGAAC
Molecule: long non-coding RNA, 2623 nt
Filed under: Lupinus angustifolius (narrow-leaved blue lupine)
Lineage: Eukaryota; Viridiplantae; Streptophyta; Magnoliopsida; Fabales; Fabaceae
Description: long non-coding RNA (LANG_LNC002791)
Source: RNAcentral